GAACCGUACAAACGUUUAUUCGGAAUUACUGGGCUUAAAGGGUGCGUAGGCGGCGUGGUAAGUGAGGCGUGAAAGCCCUCGGCUCAACCGAGGAAUUGCGUUUCAUACUGCCACACUCGAGGGAGACAGAGGUAAGCGGAACUGAUGGUGGAGCGGUGAAAUGCGUUGAUAUUAUCAGGAACACCAGUGGCGAAAGCGGCUUACUGGGUCUCUUCUGACGCUGAGGCACGAAAGCUAGGGUAGCGAACGGGGAUUAGAUACCCCGGUAGUCCUAGCUGUAAACGAUGAGCACUUGGUCGGGGAUCCCCCCCUCAUAGGUUCCCCCGAUCGUAGCGAAAGUGUUAAGUGCUCCGCCUGGGGGAGUAUGGUCGCAAGUCUG
This 379-nucleotide ribosomal RNA is filed under the name uncultured organism. RNAcentral's name for it is "partial 16S ribosomal RNA". It matches the Rfam family "Bacterial small subunit ribosomal RNA", at positions 527 to 896 of the family's 1533-position model. The record is from RNAcentral.